Paramuricea clavata is the source of this 396-nucleotide non-coding RNA. The record is from the annotation of a GenBank genome assembly. NCBI's taxonomy places the organism in Eukaryota, Metazoa, Cnidaria, Anthozoa, Malacalcyonacea, Plexauridae.
AAUGGCCGUUUUUAUACUAGAGACGCAUUAUGCGUCUGGACGCAUAAUACGUCUUCUAUAUUAUUCGUCUAGUAUAAAGACGGGACGAAUAAUCCGACGAACUAUCAGCAUUUAUUGUUCGUCUGGUUAUGCGUCCUCAGUAUAAAGAUGGGCACAAGACGCAUUAUGCGUCUGGACGAACUAUCAUCGGUUGUGCGUCUCUUAAGACGAAGAAUCGAACAUAGUUCGUCUAGACGCAUAAUGCAUCUUGUGCCCGUCUUUAUACUGAGGACGCUUAACCAGACGAACAACAAAUGCUUGCCCAAGUUCGUCCAGACGCAUAAUGCGUCUCUAGUAUAAAAACGGACAAUCAAUAUUUGAGGAACACUUCAAUUGGAACGACAGUAAAGAAUGUUA